This 468-nucleotide ribosomal RNA is filed under the name uncultured bacterium. RNAcentral's name for it is "partial 16S ribosomal RNA". It matches the Rfam family "Bacterial small subunit ribosomal RNA", at positions 28 to 507 of the family's 1533-position model. The record is from RNAcentral.
GACGAACGCUGGCGGCGUGCUUAACACAUGCAAGUCGAACGGAAAGGCCCUGCUUUUGUGGGGUGCUCGAGUGGCGGACGGGUGAGUAACACGUGAGUAACCUGCCCUUGACUUUGGGAUAACUUCAGGAAACUGGGGCUAAUACCGGAUAGGAGCUCCUGCUGCAUGGUGGGGGUUGGAAAGUUUCGGCGGUUGGGGAUGGACUCGCGGCUUAUCAGCUUGUUGGUGGGGUAGUGGCUUACCAAGGCUUUGACGGGUAGCCGGCCUGAGAGGGUGACCGGCCACAUUGGGACUGAGAUACGGCCCAGACUCCUACGGGAGGCAGCAGUGGGGAAUAUUGCACAAUGGGCGGAAGCCUGAUGCAGCAACGCCGCGUGCGGAAUGACGGCCUUCGGGUUGUAAACCGCUUUCGCCUGUGACGAAGCGUGAGUGACGGUAAUGGGUAAAGAAGCACCGGCUAACUACGUG